UGGAUGACAUCCCAAUACUGAGUUUCCUGGAUAUUAUAGGUUGGAGGAGUAAAUCAAUUACUCUCUGAAUCUAUUGAGAUGCUAAUGGUAUUAAAAAUCAGUUGUGAGCAUGACAAAUCUAUUUUUCCUUUGUAUGUCCCCAAUUACAAGAUCAUUCUCACUUUAUGGGCUCCUUGUGCAGUAUCUAUAAUGCAUAACCUGUAUUCUUUCUAUAUCAAUUGUGGUAUGAGCUUUCAUGGUAUUCUUUGAUAUUGGAUAUUUGUCAAAGAAACUUACAGUUAUAUUGUAAAUGUAUACAAGCAGCAUAAACUGUCAUGAUUUUCUUGAUGCUGUAUUGAUUUGUGUAUUUGAUGUUGGUUAAGAUGGAGGAAAAAGUUAAAGAAAUUGUUGACAUUAAGCAACGCAAUCUGGCUGAAGAGAACCAGAAAACAAUGGAGGUUCUAAAAGAAUGGUACCAUGUUCACUGUAACUUGCAAGGGCAUUUUACUUUUAUGGUGGUUUCUCAGUGUUAAGAAGAGUAUGCACAUUAUUUCCCCCAGAAAAGGUGGAAGAAAAGAUACCAUGUUACUAGGCGGACAUUAUUUCUUUAUCCCAGUUUGGAAAUAACAUUUUUUGUCCUUGCAAUGAGGCAGAGAACGGAUGUUGCAAGAUCAGUUACGGUAAGCUCAAGAAAGUGUUUCCACUAGGCGGAAACUGCAUGAAUUUGCACAAAGCCAGUUGUUUGAGCUUCGUGCCCAAUCAGAGGAGGAGAGAGCUUCAAAACAAUCAGAAGUUAAUCUUUUAAUGGAUGAAGUCGAACAAGCUCAAACUCGUCUUCUUAGUCUCGAAAGAGAGAAGGUGAAACAACUUUUUAUCUUGAAGAUUUCUCCAUGGCGGAAUUAGUUAAUGCUAUUAGCCUGCUAACAUUGUUGAAACAUAUAGGAGGUUGUCCACUGCGUAUAAAUUUGGAUGUGCUUUGAAAGUAUCUCAUGUGUCUGAUCCUGUGAGGAUGUGUAGAGUUUGCCUUUAGCCAUGCACAAGUCAGGUUUUUAAUUGGAGUUCGGUGGGUGUCUCUUAGUUGUAUACUGACAAGAUUCAUAUGCUUCUCC
This is a non-coding RNA of Sesamum indicum (sesame), 1088 nucleotides long. The record is from RefSeq and is a predicted model, not a curated record. NCBI's taxonomy places the organism in Eukaryota, Viridiplantae, Streptophyta, Magnoliopsida, Lamiales, Pedaliaceae.